This 216-nucleotide long non-coding RNA is filed under the name Vigna radiata. Its description in RNAcentral is "long non-coding RNA (VRAD_LNC007371)". Lineage: Eukaryota; Viridiplantae; Streptophyta; Magnoliopsida; Fabales; Fabaceae. The record is from RNAcentral.
GGUCAUCUGUUAUACUAGUGCAAAAAACAUGAUUUUAUAACAACUUAUUAUGCCGAUUCUAAUCCACUCAGCAUAAUAAGUGAUGUAGUGAUAAAGUUGUAAUUAUGGUAAGACUUUCUAUAAUGAUUAUCAAUAAAAUCAGUAUAAAAAUGAAUAGGGUGGUCUUUUCAUAAUAAAUUAGAAUACUUUUUAUAAUGGUUGUUACCUAGACCCAAC